GUGUCAGGCCCCUGUGAUUCAGUUAAGCUUCAGUGAGGUAAGUACUUCCAUCAUCCUCAUUUUACAAGGAAACUGAACACAUGGAGACAUUGAGCCACCUGCCCAAAGUUACACAGUCUCCCUAGGGAAAGCCAGCUAUGUGAUGUGGACACUCAAAAACAGUCCUCUGGAGUGAGCCACAUGGUGAAAAAUGGAGUCCUCCUGCCACCAGCCAAAAGGGACUUGCCAGCCUUAUGAGUGAGCCGGCCCAGACACUCCAGCCCCAGUUAAACCUUCGGAGGACUGCGGCCUCGCCAACAUCUUGACUGCAACUUCGUGAGAGACCAAGAGCUACACCCAUGCAACUAAGCUGCUCCCCAAUUCCUGGUCCACAGACACUGGGAGAGAUAAUAAAUAUUUAUUUCUGUUUGAA
Long non-coding RNA from Pongo pygmaeus (Bornean orangutan), 412 nucleotides. RefSeq lists it as uncharacterized. The record is from RefSeq and is a predicted model, not a curated record. The transcript has 2 exons. NCBI's taxonomy places the organism in Eukaryota, Metazoa, Chordata, Mammalia, Primates, Hominidae.